AUCUCUUCUAAUCCUGCUUUACCAACUUUUCCAUUAUUCUUCAUAUAAACUUCAUAAAAUGGUUGCAUUGCAGUUCUAAAUGGAUCUAAAUUAGGAUUUGUAACUGUAACUCCUUGU
This is a non-coding RNA of Cetobacterium somerae ATCC BAA-474, 117 nucleotides long. It matches the Rfam family "Aggregatibacter sRNA 96". From Rfam's summary of the family: Validated by RT-PCR. Antisense gene: HK1651_08600. The record is from Rfam. Lineage: Bacteria; Fusobacteriati; Fusobacteriota; Fusobacteriia; Fusobacteriales; Fusobacteriaceae.